This 2156-nucleotide unclassified non-coding RNA is filed under the name Leishmania donovani. Its description in RNAcentral is "gene:LdHU3.24.2440(CDS-product:hypothetical_prote in_conserved)". Lineage: Eukaryota; Euglenozoa; Kinetoplastea; Trypanosomatida; Trypanosomatidae. The record is from RNAcentral.
CCACCCGACGGCAGACGCAAGCACCAGAAGACGAGUGCGAGACUGCCGAGGUUGCUAACAAGUCCACGCUUCGCCGCCCGGUGAACAAGUCUCUCUCUCUCUCCCCGUGUGUCCCUGUGUCUGAGCCGAGUGCUCCUUCAACACGCACGUACGCCCCAGCCACCAACACAGCGCACGCACGCACUCACACGCGUGCGUUGCCCUCAUAGAGCAACGCCACCAUCACCUCCCUCAUAGACACUCUGUGCGCUGUGGCGUAAAGCGUGCUUGUGACGAGGAACACGAAACAUCGGCCGUCACGCAGAACACGAGCCACACUCAUAGAAACCUGCUCCAGCAGUUGAUUCUUCCUUCUUGUUGUGGCCCUUCGCCUUCGCACCGCAGCGAUAGCCGUCACUACGUGUGCUCACGCAAGCAACGGCCAGGAUGGCGGAGAGCGCUGUUCUGACGCCGCUGAGUGCGCGCCACACCGUGUCGCCGCGAGACCGCAGUGCGCUCGCCACCGGCAUUUCGACCCUCUCGUCCCCGACGGAGGAGACGAUAGAAGUGGACGGCGCCACCACAACGCCGUCGCCGCCACCGCCGGAAACGCGAGUGAAUGUCACGGAGAAGCUCAGUGACGGCGGAGCUGAGAGGUGGCCCGGUGACCCAGAGCCGCCCUCCCAGGGCUGUGUCGCGUCGUCGUCUGCCACGAAUGCGCACCUGCCUAUCUCAUCCCCAGCACUCGUGCGAGAGGAGGGACAUGCGCACAUCACCGCCGCUGACUACGCCGAUCGGCAGCGACUGCUGUACCACAUCACCUACCUGAGCACCCAGCUGCAACGCGCGCAGCUGCAGGUGGAAGAUCUCACGCGAACCGUUUGUGUGCUACGUGGUGCGGUGGGCGACUCCGCCGCGGCGACAGCUGUCAAGGCCGCCGUGAAGGAGGACGCCACGUCGGCAGCAGUGCUGGCCGCAAAGGAAGAAAGGGAUGUGCACGCUGCCCUGCAGGCGUCCCUGGCGCUCUUUGACCCUGUGAUUGCGCAGGCCCAGAUCUACCGCCUCGACGAUGCGCUGGCACAGGUCGGGCUGCUGCGCGAGGCGGAGCUGGCCCAGCUGCGCAAAGCCAAUGCGGCGCUGCAGGAUCACCGUACGCUCGUCAGUCGCCUCUCCGAGGAGUUGGCGCAGCUGCGCAGCAAAACGGCAACGUUGGAGCAGGAGAAGCAGCGCACCGAGACGCAGCUAACCGCAGCUGUUCUCGAAGUCGAGCAGCUCCGCUACGAGGAGCGGCGACUCAACAACCGCGUGGCCGGCCUAGAAGAGCUUGCACAGGACGGCACUUGGAUGAGCAACGUGCGCGUCGUCAGCGCAGCCGCGGCGUCAACGCAGGCGUGCGUCUCUCGGUCGUCCCCGCUGGUGCGGCUCGAGCGCGAGGAGCAGUUGGCGCGGCAGGCGCUGCUGCUUGACGUCUUCUGGGACCCCGUGCUCAUCGCCUUCGACGCAGGCCUGACGUGGCUCUCCGAUAGCGCCGCGCUGCAAGCCAAAGGCUCGGCUGCGCAAGAGCAGCCGAUGGCUCCAGGCGGGGCCAAGGCUUUCGUGGGCGAGCGCGACCUUAUCUCACUGGCACAGGCCGGCAUCCUCGUCGAGACGCCGGCGCUUCCGACGGAUGCGGACCUGCUUCUCUUGCAGCGCCAGCAGGAGGAAGUAACGCAGCUGCGCUCUCGUGUGCAGCUGCUGCAGGAGCGCAAUCGCGUCGGCCAGCUUGAAACCGAGCGCCUCCAGUUUCUAUACGAGGGCGAGGUGCGGCGAAGUGAACGCAUGGCGAAAGACCACGCCGCGCAGCUGCAGCAGGCCUACGACGAGGUGGUGCGCGACCGGCAGUACAUCAUGAACAAGCUCAAGCAAGAGGUCGAGGAUCAAAUUCGGCUCGCCUAUGAAGACGGCAGAGCGUACGAAAAAAGCAGAGCCAGAAGCCGGCGCUCACAGAAGACAUUUCGCGCCGGCAACGCCGUCUUGUGACACGCGCCCCGCAUAGAAAAUGACAAAACCCGAACGCAUACCGCUGCUCUGCUGCUGCCGUUUUUUUUUUUUUCGCUUUUUCUCACGUCCCUUGUUUCCUGUUGCGCCCCCGGUUGGUUACGUGAGCUGUUGGUAUUAUCUCGCCAAAAGGUGCGAUG